UGAUAUUUCUUUCUAAUUAAAAGAAUGUUUUACCAUAUUCAUUCAUUCUUUCUGUGAAAUUUAUUUUCAGACGUAUCCUACUUACCAAAAUUCACCAUGGCAGGUCAUCACUGGAUAUCAGUUGCCUGUAUAUAAUUAUCAGAUUCCACUACAUUGGCCUGUUGGGGAGCAAAGGAGUUACGUUGUACCUCUGGCAUAUUCUACUUAUCCAGAUUCACCAGUUCAGGUCAUCACUGGACAUCAGUUGCCUGUAUAUAAUUUUCAGAUGCCACCACAGUGGCCUGUUGGAGGUCAAAGGAGGCGUAUCCUACUUAUCCAAGUUCACCAGGUCAGGUCAUCACUGGAUACCAGUUGCCUGUAUAUAAUCACCAGGUUAAAAGAGUGCAUCGUUUUAGAAGAAGUUGGGCAGUAUUUAAAUCUGUUUGAUCUUCUCGGCUAUCUAGUUUCAUGAGAAGUUGCUGGUUUUGAAUAUUAAGCUAAAAGUUUUCCACUAUUAUAGAAGUUCUGAAUUUUGGUAAAUCACACUGAAACUUUCUGUAUAAGUUGUAUUAUUCAAAUCUAGUUUUAUCUUACAUUGAAACUGUUCUUCAUUAGAUAUUUAUUUAGAACCUGGUUCUGUGUUGAAUAUAUUGCAGAAAGGAGAAUAAUUGAGACUGAAAGUAAGUUAAGAUUUAUCUGCAAAGAUUUUUAAAAAGUUGAAAUUUGCACUUUAAGUGUUAAAAAGGAAAUACUGAUUUUCAAAAAAAAAUUUUUUUUUAAAUCAAAUUUGAAAGACAAGAAUUUUGAUAGUCUGAAUACAAGCAUUUCAUUUUCCGAGUACCUGUGAACAGUACAGUAUUUACAGUAUUGAGUUAUGCAUUUAUGAUUUAUCUAGAAAUUUACCACAAAAGCAGAAUUUUUAAAAUAGUAUUUUUAAUCAGUGGAACUCAAUAUAUAGUUAGCUUUAUUGAAGUUUUCUUAUCUAAACCCAGUAAAACAGACUCCAAGCAAACAGUCCAAUCAGUGAGUCAUACAUAUGUUUAUUAAAAAUAUUUUAUCUUUUAUCUAGAAUCUACACAUAUGUAUCCAAUUUGAUUGAGAUAGUAAUUAAGAUAACUAAAAUUCUGGGCCCAAUUUUUUAAAGAAUCCAAGACAAACUAAACUUUACUAACAAACUAAACUCUUUCUCAAGGAGUUACCAUUCUUUUUUGUAAAAACAUUGUUCUUUGAAAUGCUAAACUUAAUGACUGUAUGUCAAAUUGUGCAAAAACAGGUAUUAAAGAAUGCUGUAACUUUUUUAUGUCACUCAAAGGUUAAUUAGAGUAUCCGAAAGAAAUUGUUUUUAUAAAAACAUUGAAGUAUUAGUUACUUGCUAUAGAUUUUUAUUUUUUAACCUGUUAUGUUUCCUUUUGUAAAGUAAAAUAUGUCCAGAAGAGUCAAAGUAGGUAGUUUUAAUAUUUCUAAACCACGCAAGUUGUUUAGUUAUAUAUAACUGUAACUGUAUAUGAGGUUGUUUAGUAAGUGUAUCUUAAGAACAUGCUAGAAUUCUUAACUGAGUAAGUUAACGUUUCUAGAUUAGCAGGUGUCCUCAUUUUACAUUGUGACACACAGCUGGAGCCCCAGAGCUCUUUUGCUAUACCCACAGUCUUUUUUUCCCCACCUUUUUUACUAAUCUUUUAGGAGGUGUGCUCUUAGAACUGGUGAUCUAGAGAAUAGAAGUAGCUGUAUGAGCAGUUCAAGGGCCAAGCCCUGGAACGGUAGGAAUGGGAUAUAAUACCUUUCUAAAGGAAACAGUUGUGUCUAUAUCAUUUGAUCUGCCAUGGACAUGAGUUUUAAGUGGCUUUCUGGCCCUUCUUUCAAUGGCUUCAUCCCUAAAACAUGGAGACUCUAAAUUAAUGUAGUUACUAUGGGCCAUAUUACUAGUGCCCACUGGGGUCUAUGAUUUCUCAAAAUUUUCAUUCUGAAUCUGAAGGAAAGAGUCUUUUAACUUUAGAAUUCCCAAGAGGGCUUUAUUACACCUGAGAAAUUGAAAGCACUAUUUGUCUAUUAAAAAAUUACCUGUAGCUUUUUAGUGCUUUGACAUUCUGACAUAUAUCAUUCUGUGAUUGUCUCCAGAUUUCUAUAAAUGAUACCUAUAUUCUAAAGAGCUAGUUGUAAUUAUUCCAAUACGACCUUAAGGAAAAGUUAGGGAAUCAAUGUUUGCCUUUGUUGGAGUGAGGUAUUUAAAAGAGUAAGGUAAAAGUGAUAAAGUCCUGAACCUUUAAAAAUGGAAAAUUAAUUCUAAACUUAGAUAUUUCUUACAUAUUUGUUUCUGUUACCUAUUGCUGAUACUGUCUUUGCAUAAAUGAAUAAAA
Rhinopithecus bieti (black snub-nosed monkey) is the source of this 2333-nucleotide long non-coding RNA. NCBI's taxonomy places the organism in Eukaryota, Metazoa, Chordata, Mammalia, Primates, Cercopithecidae. The record is from Ensembl.